GACGAACGCUGGCGGCGUGCUUAACACAUGCAAGUCGAACGAUGAAGCCCUUCGGGGUGGAUUAGUGGCGAACGGGUGAGUAACACGUGGGCAAUCUGCCCUGCACUCUGGGACAAGCCCUGGAAACGGGGUCUAAUACCGGAUACGAGUUUCACCGGCAUCGGUGAUUCUGGAAAGCUCCGGCGGUGCAGGAUGAGCCCGCGGCCUAUCAGCUUGUUGGUGAGGUAACGGCUCACCAAGGCGACGACGGGUAGCCGGCCUGAGAGGGCGACCGGCCACACUGGGACUGAGACACGGCCCAGACUCCUACGGGAGGCAGCAGUGGGGAAUAUUGCACAAUGGGCGAAAGCCUGAUGCAGCGACGCCGCGUGAGGGAUGACGGCCUUCGGGUUGUAAACCUCUUUCAGCAGGGAAGAAGCGCAAGUGACGGUACCUGCAGAAGAAGCGCCGGCUAACUACGUG
This 462-nucleotide ribosomal RNA is filed under the name uncultured bacterium. RNAcentral describes it as "bacterial SSU rRNA". It matches the Rfam family "Bacterial small subunit ribosomal RNA", at positions 28 to 507 of the family's 1533-position model. The record is from RNAcentral.